This 290-nucleotide ribosomal RNA is filed under the name uncultured bacterium. Its description in RNAcentral is "partial 16S ribosomal RNA". It matches the Rfam family "Bacterial small subunit ribosomal RNA", at positions 773 to 1060 of the family's 1533-position model. The record is from RNAcentral.
GUGGAUUAGAUACCCUGGUAGUCCACGCCGUAAACGAUGGACACUAGGCGUCGGGGGGAGCGACCCUCCCGGUGCCGUCGCUAACGCAGUAAGUGUCCCGCCUGGGGAGUACGGCCGCAAGGCUGAAACUCAAAGGAAUUGACGGGGGCCCGCACAAGCGGUGGAGCAUGUGGUUUAAUUCGAAGCAACGCGAAGAACCUUACCUGGGCUUGACAUGCUGGUGUAAGCCGGUGGAAACAUCGGCCCCUCUUCGGAGCGCCAGCACAGGUGCUGCACGGCCGUCGUCAACU